Molecule: long non-coding RNA, 303 nt
Filed under: Sarcophilus harrisii (Tasmanian devil)
Lineage: Eukaryota; Metazoa; Chordata; Mammalia; Dasyuromorphia; Dasyuridae
Description: lncRNA (ENSSHAG00000024462.1)
Source: RNAcentral
CUGAAGGUGCAGCAGCAAAGCCAGUGGUGGUGCUCAGAAGGGGACAGAGUCUUCCAGAUGGGUCUGACCAGUACUGCCAGGACAAUUCAACCUCUUCCUUCUCCUUAACACCCUCCACAAAGGCAGGGGACCAGGAGGCUGCCUGCGGUGUUCCAAGCAUCCUGCUUCUGAUUUCCCUGGAUCUGAGGGGCUGAAACUCACAGGAGGGGGUGUGAAGAGGGGCCGAGAAGGAGGUACAGGACCUGUGCUGAUUUCUCAUAGAGCACUGAGGACUGAAGAGAUAUGCAAUAAAGACUUGUCAAA